AGGAGAUCUUACUGCGGAUGCUGUGUUUCUUUUCGUACCUACUACAACAGUUCAGUCUACGUUACCGGUUAGUGGUGUCUGUAGAACAUUCACCAAAGCAGACAACAUGGCGAUAGCAAUCCCCACAGAGCAGCACGUCGUGUCGGACAAGGCGGAGUGUGUUUUACAUUGUAACAGGCGACCAUGGUGCUCACAAUUUGCUGUCCAAUCAGAGGCGGGGGGUGGCAUCGUGUGCACUCUAGGGACGGUUUCGUCGAAUACCGGGAGUCAUACCAGAUCCGUUCUCUACAGUCUGUUAUGACAGUGCUAUUUAUCCCAUAACUACGCUUGUUCCACAACUGAUAUGGCACGUGAUAAAAUAUGUAGCAGUGUGUUAUUGUUUUUGUUUACACACCGCGGUGUGUUACCACUUUCUAAUUUAGCCUCCAAUUGGUCAUGUGUGACCCCCAACAAAUCUGAUUCGCUAAUUAAAUAACUUCUGGCCUUUGACCUUGCA
Long non-coding RNA from Pecten maximus, 496 nucleotides. RefSeq lists it as uncharacterized. The transcript has 2 exons. NCBI's taxonomy places the organism in Eukaryota, Metazoa, Mollusca, Bivalvia, Pectinida, Pectinidae. The record is from RefSeq and is a predicted model, not a curated record.